AGUGAACGCUGGCGGUAGGCCUAACACAUGCAAGUCGAACGGCAGCACAGGAGAGCUUGCCCUCUGGGUGGCGAGUGGUGGACGGGUGAGGAAUACAUCGGAAUCUACUUUUUCGUGGGGGAUAACGUAGGGAAACUUACGCCAAUACCGCAUACGACCUACGGGUGAAAGCAGGGGACCUUCGGGCCUUGCGCGAUUGAAUGAGCCGAUGUCGGAUUAGCUAGUUGGCGGGGUAAAGGCCCACCAAGGCGACGAUCCGUAGCUGGUCUGAGAGGCUGAUCAGCCACACUGGAACUGAGACACGGUCCAGAAUCCUACGGGAGGCAGCAGUGGGGAAUAUUGGACAAUGGGCGCAAUCCUGAUCCAGCCAUACCGCGUGGGUGAAGAAGGCCUUCGGGUUGUAAAGCCCUUUUGUUGGGAAAGAAAUCCAGCUGGCUAAUACCCGGUUGGGAUGACGGUACCCAAAGAAUAAGCACCGGCUAACUUCGUGCCAGCAGCCGCGUAA
This 505-nucleotide ribosomal RNA is filed under the name uncultured bacterium. RNAcentral's name for it is "partial 16S ribosomal RNA". It matches the Rfam family "Bacterial small subunit ribosomal RNA", at positions 29 to 522 of the family's 1533-position model. The record is from RNAcentral.